GCUCAGUCUCUGGUGUCCCCGGCCUGGGGCUGGCAAGCUGGGUUAGGAGCUAUGACCUUGGGGCAAAUAGGGAUACGAUCCUAGAGGCGCAGGGGAGCGCGCAGCAUGAGUGCUGAGAGGCACGCGCCCUCUGCUGCACGGCCGUGGAAUAAAACGAGACAGCGGCGCCACAGUCCCCUGCCCGCAGCCCACGCUCGGGCGAGCCUGGAGGAUUGCAUUUCCUCGUAGGCUGGCAGAGCCUUACAUGAAGCGCUCAUCUUCUCCUACUUUCCUCCUCUUUAAAAAAUUAACGUGGGAAACAUUUUCCUGGGCAUCUAAAAGUAUUGUGGACCUGAGACACUGUGCUUACAGGGCCUACUGGUGUGGAAAAAUGAAAUAGACUCG
Molecule: long non-coding RNA, 384 nt
Filed under: Pan troglodytes (chimpanzee)
Lineage: Eukaryota; Metazoa; Chordata; Mammalia; Primates; Hominidae
Description: long non-coding RNA NONPTRT017126
Source: RNAcentral